RNAcentral lists this ribosomal RNA (497 nucleotides) under uncultured bacterium. RNAcentral's name for it is "partial 16S ribosomal RNA". It matches the Rfam family "Bacterial small subunit ribosomal RNA", at positions 28 to 507 of the family's 1533-position model. The record is from RNAcentral.
GAUGAACGCUGGCGGCGUGCCUAAUACAUGCCAGUCGAACGAUCAGACUAGGAUCUUGCUCCUCUGACGUUACCUGCGGACUGGUGAGUAACCCGUGGAUUACCUACCUCUACUACUGGCAUCACUUCGUGAAACCUGAUCUAAUACCGUCUAAUAUAUUUCACCUCAUGGUUCAAUCGUGAAAGACUGUUUUGCUGUCACUUAUAGAUGGUUCCACGCCGCAUUAGCUAGUUGGUAAGGUAACGGCUUACCACGGCAACGAUGCGUAGCCGACCUGAGAGGGUGAUAGGACAGACUGGAACAGAGAAACGGCAGAGACUCUGAGGGGAAGCAGCAGUAGGGAAUCUUACGCAAUGGGGGAAAGGGUGACGGAGCAAAGCCGCGGGAGGGAUGAAGGAGUAAGGAUGGGAAAAAGAUGUAAGUAGGGAAGAAGAAAUGUGUAAGUAACUAGGAAGGUAUUGACGGUACCUAAUGAAAAAGCCACGGCUAACUCCGUG